RNAcentral lists this ribosomal RNA (466 nucleotides) under uncultured bacterium. RNAcentral's name for it is "partial 16S ribosomal RNA". It matches the Rfam family "Bacterial small subunit ribosomal RNA", at positions 28 to 507 of the family's 1533-position model. The record is from RNAcentral.
GAUGAACGCUGGCGGCGUGCUUAACACAUGCAAGUCGAACGAUGAAGCCCAGCUUGCUGGGUGGAUUAGUGGCGAACGGGUGAGUAACACGUGAGUAACCUGCCCUUGACGCUGGGAUAAGCGCUGGAAACGGCGUCUAAUACCGGAUACGAGCUUCCACCGCAUGGUGAGUUGCUGGAAAGAAUUUCGGUCAAGGAUGGACUCGCGGCCUAUCAGGUAGUUGGUGAGGUAACGGCUCACCAAGCCGACGACGGGGAGCCGGCCUGAGAGGGUGAACGGCCACACUGGGACUGAGACACGGCCCAGACUCCUACGGGAGGCAGCAGUGGGGAAUAUUGCACAAUGGGCGCAAGCCUGAUGCAGCAACGCCGCGUGAGGGAAGAAGGCCUUCGGGUCGUAAACCUCUUUUAGCAGGGAGGAAGCGAAAGUGACGGUACCUGCAGAAAAAGCACCGGCUAACUACGUG